AUGGCAACCUCAAUUGGUUGCAUAUAUUACUAUCUUUUGUUCCUUAUUUGGUUUCUCUCAAGUAUCACUUUCUUUGUGCAAAGUCACCUUGUGCUACUAAGUUGGAAACUAUUCCUUUUAGGUAACAUUCAGCACUUUGGUACUAUGAACAGAUCAAUACCAAUGUCUAGAUCUACAUCAUUUGCACAAUGUUGGGAUCAAUUUAUUAGUCCCAUAAUGAUAAUACCUCUUGGUUUAUAUACAAAUUUACCUACAACUCAGAUACUUUAUAUUCUUAGAUAG
Molecule: non-coding RNA, 282 nt
Organism: Vicia faba (fava bean)
Lineage: Eukaryota; Viridiplantae; Streptophyta; Magnoliopsida; Fabales; Fabaceae
Source: the annotation of a GenBank genome assembly